RNAcentral lists this long non-coding RNA (962 nucleotides) under Macaca mulatta (Rhesus monkey). RNAcentral's name for it is "lncRNA (ENSMMUG00000057831.1)". Lineage: Eukaryota; Metazoa; Chordata; Mammalia; Primates; Cercopithecidae. The record is from RNAcentral.
GUUGGAAGCAAGGACAGGGAUAGGAAGAGCUUCUAAACACUUGCAGGCAGGAGCAGUGGAACAGAAAGAAAUAUUACAUGAGUGACAUGACUUUACUUUUGUGAAGAGCAACUAAUGACUAGGAAGAGCAUGUGCAUUCAAACUUGUUAAUUCAUUGAUUUGAGUUGAAGGGAGGGGGACAUGCUUGGUGGAAAAGUUAAAGUGCUCCGGGUGAGAAAUUCACAGGGCAAAGAUGUUAAUAGCAAUGGGGAAAAAAAUAACGCUUCUCCAGUGCUAGGCAAACGGCCAUAUCCAUCAGGAGUAAAGAAAACGAGAGACAUAAGACAAACAGCUCAGAGUGGAAGAAAUAGAUGUUCUCAGGACGUGGCUGUAUGGUGUCCUGGUUUAGAGCAUCUGCCCUACAGUCAGAAUGCCUGCGUUUGAAAUAAUUUCUGCCACGAACUAGCUGUGUGACCGUGGGUGUCCUUGGCCAGGUGUGGUGGCUCACGCCUGUAAUCCCAGCACUGUGGGAGGCCAAGGUGGGUGGAUCAUCUGAGGUCAGGAAUUUGAGGCCAGCCUGAACAACAUGGAGAAACCCCGUUUCUACUCAAAAUACAAAAUUAGCUGGGUAUGGUGGUGCAUGCCUAUAAUCCCGGCUACUCAGGAGGCUGAGACAGGAGAAUUGCUUGAACCUGGGAGGCAGACUUGCAAGAGCCGAGAUUGCACUCCAGCCCGGGCAACAGAGUAUGACUUUGUCUCAAAAAAAAAAAAAAAAUCAGGUGUUCUCAACCUCUACGCAUGGACUAGUCCACAGCCUGUUAGGAACAGGGCAGCACAGCAGGAGGUGAGUGGCAAGCAAACAGGAGCGAGCAUGGCCGCCUGAGCUCCGCCUCCUGUCACAUCAGCAGCGGCAUUAGAUUCUCAUUGGAGCACGAACCCUAUUGUGAACUGAGUAUGCGAGGGAUCUAAGUUGCAGGCUACUG